CUGUAUACUUCAGCAUUAAUUAUAAGACCAUAUAUUUUCUUUACACUUUAGUAUUUAAUGUUUUAAUGGGUGGGGUUGGGUGGUGUGUUGGGGGUUAGUGAUUUACCCAAUAUUUUAUCUAAAUGCAAUGUUAUAUAGUUAAUGGCAUGGUGGGUAACAUGGUUUAAAAUAAUGCCCGUUACAUAAUGUGGCAGCAAGUAAUAAUAGAUUUCCAAGGGCCUGUUACUGUUAACUUUUCUAAACAAUGGGUGAUUCGUCUUUUCUUUGGGCUUACAUAAACUCAUAUCACCCAAAACUCUUAUUACAAGUUUCUUGUCUUGAUUUCACUUUGGAUGUAAGACAAUCAAAAUUAUAAGCUAAGAGUUCAUAGACUCUGCUACGCCCUUCUUUUAGUGAUGAUAAAGUUGUGUCUGUAAUUUACCUCUGUUUUGUGCUGUUUUGGAAGCUGAUUAAUCAUAAUGAAUAUAAAUCACGGAUUCAUUUUUUUUGAAAAAUUUAUUUAUGCAUCAUUUUAUGCUCAUAAGUUAGUGGCAUUUCUUAAAUUUUAGCCAAUUUCUUCAAUAUCUAUUCAUUUAAUGGAUUUUGAAAGUUUUAGAAAAAAAAAUGUGGCAUGAUUAG
This 618-nucleotide unclassified non-coding RNA is filed under the name Hevea brasiliensis (rubber tree). Lineage: Eukaryota; Viridiplantae; Streptophyta; Magnoliopsida; Malpighiales; Euphorbiaceae. The record is from RNAcentral.